GGCCCAAUUGUUAAUCUUAUAUAGCAACUGAAUGUACACAUAAGUUAUAACAGUUUUUGAUAUAUAUACCAUAGAUGUUUUGGUAAUUUAAAUAUUUUUCUAUGAACAAUUCACGUAGAUGUACAAUAUGCAAAUCGAUUAAUUAUUUAUUGAUUGAUUAAUCCAAGGAUAUUUCUACAUAUUUUAUUUAUGAGUGGGCUUAUUUCCGUGUGAGCUAUCUAUGUGAGCUUUUUUCCUUGUGAGUAUAUUUCUAAGUGAGCAUUUUUCCAUGUGAGCUUUUUUCUGUGUGGGCUUUUUUCCUGUGAGCAUUUUUCUGGUCACCUUAGUUUUGCUGUUCUAUGCAGGUUUGAAUUAAUUCAAGAUGUUUGAGAAUACAUAUAGGCAACAGCUGUAAAGUAAAAAUUAUGUAUUUUUGCAUCUUCUUACUCUUUUUCUUAUAUAAAAUUCAUUAUUAAAUUUGUAGUUGGCCCUUGUGUAUAUUUGUCAAAAAUAUAUUUGUGAACUGUUUUCAUAAAAUUCUGCACCUUAUUUUUAAAAACUUGGUAACUUGAAAUGUAUUUUUAAAAAUAAAGCUUGUACUUUAAAACACUUUGCAUACUUUUUUUAGGCAAGAAUAGCAAGAAUAAUUCUUAUAUUAGAUGAAUAUUCCUUUAUAUCAGCAUUAAGUAUUGAUAAAUUGUGUAACACUACUUUUAUAUCUACUUUUUCUUUCAGAAUCCAUCUUUUCAUCUUAGUAUUAUGUCUUGUGUUGGCAGCAAAGAAGAAAAUAUUGAAUUGUUUCUAGCUGACCUAAAUGUUAUUUUCGAUGCAUUCAUGGAAAGCCAUACAGAUUGCAGAACAUUAUGGAUAACUGAAGUAUGUUGUAAAUGUGGAAAUAAACUAUUCACAAUUCCUUUGAAAUCAUAAAUUGUACAGUUAUUUGUAUAAUAAACUUUUAUAUAUUAUGAAA
Long non-coding RNA from Stegodyphus dumicola, 949 nucleotides. The record is from RefSeq and is a predicted model, not a curated record. NCBI's taxonomy places the organism in Eukaryota, Metazoa, Arthropoda, Arachnida, Araneae, Eresidae.